This 494-nucleotide ribosomal RNA is filed under the name uncultured bacterium. RNAcentral describes it as "partial 16S ribosomal RNA". It matches the Rfam family "Bacterial small subunit ribosomal RNA", at positions 28 to 507 of the family's 1533-position model. The record is from RNAcentral.
GACGAACGCUGGCGGCGCGCUUAACACAUGCAAGUCGAACGGAAAGGCCUGCUUUCCCUUGUGGAUUGCGGGUACUCGAGUGGCGAACGGGUGAGUAACACGUGAGUGAUCUGCCCCCAACUUGGGUAUAAGCCGGGGAAACUGGGUCUAAUUCCCGAUAGGACUGCAGGGUGGUGCCUGUGGUGGAAAACGAUUUUCUAGUGGUUGGGGAUGAGCUCGCGGCCUAUCAGCUCGUUGGUGGGGUAAUGGCCUACCAAGGCGGCGACGGGUAGCCGGGCUGAGGGGGUGGACCGCCACAUUGGGAAUGAGCUGCGGCCCAGACUCCUACGGGCGGCAGCAGUUGGGAAUGUUGGACGAUGGGCGGAAGCCUGAUGCAGCGACGCCGCGUGGGGGAUGACGGCCUUCGGGUUGUAAACUCCUUUCGGGCGCGAGGAAGCCACCUGGUUGGAAGGGUGGUGACGGUAGUGGUAGAAGAAGCACCGGCUAACUACGUG